RNAcentral lists this ribosomal RNA (1275 nucleotides) under Shigella sonnei. RNAcentral's name for it is "partial 23S ribosomal RNA". It matches the Rfam family "Bacterial large subunit ribosomal RNA", at positions 474 to 1751 of the family's 2925-position model. The record is from RNAcentral. Lineage: Bacteria; Pseudomonadati; Pseudomonadota; Gammaproteobacteria; Enterobacterales; Enterobacteriaceae.
UCCUGACUGACCGAUAGUGAACCAGUACCGUGAGGGAAAGGCGAAAAGAACCCCGGCGAGGGGAGUGAAAAAGAACCUGAAACCGUGUACGUACAAGCAGUGGGAGCACGCUUAGGCGUGUGACUGCGUACCUUUUGUAUAAUGGGUCAGCGACUUAUAUUCUGUAGCAAGGUUAACCGAAUAGGGGAGCCGAAGGGAAACCGAGUCUUAACUGGGCGUUAAGUUGCAGGGUAUAGACCCGAAACCCGGUGAUCUAGCCAUGGGCAGGUUGAAGGUUGGGUAACACUAACUGGAGGACCGAACCGACUAAUGUUGAAAAAUUAGCGGAUGACUUGUGGCUGGGGGUGAAAGGCCAAUCAAACCGGGAGAUAGCUGGUUCUCCCCGAAAGCUAUUUAGGUAGCGCCUCGUGAAUUCAUCUCCGGGGGUAGAGCACUGUUUCGGCAAGGGGGUCAUCCCGACUUACCAACCCGAUGCAAACUGCGAAUACCGGAGAAUGUUAUCACGGGAGACACACGGCGGGUGCUAACGUCCGUCGUGAAGAGGGAAACAACCCAGACCGCCAGCUAAGGUCCCAAAGUCAUGGUUAAGUGGGAAACGAUGUGGGAAGGCCCAGACAGCCAGGAUGUUGGCUUAGAAGCAGCCAUCAUUUAAAGAAAGCGUAAUAGCUCACUGGUCGAGUCGGCCUGCGCGGAAGAUGUAACGGGGCUAAACCAUGCACCGAAGCUGCGGCAGCGACGCUUAUGCGUUGUUGGGUAGGGGAGCGUUCUGUAAGCCUGCGAAGGUGUGCUGUGAGGCAUGCUGGAGGUAUCAGAAGUGCGAAUGCUGACAUAAGUAACGAUAAAGCGGGUGAAAAGCCCGCUCGCCGGAAGACCAAGGGUUCCUGUCCAACGUUAAUCGGGGCAGGGUGAGUCGACCCCUAAGGCGAGGCCGAAAGGCGUAGUCGAUGGGAAACAGGUUAAUAUUCCUGUACUUGGUAUUACUGCGAAGGGGGGACGGAGAAGGCUAUGUUGGCCGGGCGACGGUUGUCCCGGUUUAAGCGUGUAGGCUGGUUUUCCAGGCAAAUCCGGAAAAUCAAGGCUGAGGCGUGAUGACGAGGCACUACGGUGCUGAAGCAACAAAUGCCCUGCUUCCAGGAAAAGCCUCUAAGCAUCAGGUAACAUCAAAUCGUACCCCAAACCGACACAGGUGGUCAGGUAGAGAAUACCAAGGCGCUUGAGAGAACUCGGGUGAAGGAACUAGGCAAAAUGGUGCCGUAACUUCGGGAGAAGGCACGC